UUUUUUUUUCCAAAGAGAGGUUUCUCUGCGUGCUUGAGGUAUAAUGCAAGUACGGUCGUUUUAGGUUUUACCAACUGCGGCUAAUCUUUUUUAUACUGAGCGUAUUGGAACGUUAUCGAUAAGAAGAGAGCGUCUAGGCGAACAAUGUUCUU
This 152-nucleotide ribosomal RNA is filed under the name Saccharomyces cerevisiae (brewer's yeast). Its description in RNAcentral is "partial large subunit ribosomal RNA". The record is from RNAcentral. Lineage: Eukaryota; Fungi; Ascomycota; Saccharomycetes; Saccharomycetales; Saccharomycetaceae.